RNAcentral lists this long non-coding RNA (386 nucleotides) under Helianthus annuus (common sunflower). RNAcentral describes it as "hypothetical non coding rna". Lineage: Eukaryota; Viridiplantae; Streptophyta; Magnoliopsida; Asterales; Asteraceae. The record is from RNAcentral.
UAACCGUUUCGAACCAAAGCAAGCACACCCAUAGUUUAUACUUCGUAUCCAGUUUCAUUUAUAACAAAUGAAGCUAAAAACAUGCCCAAAUAGCAUACAAUGACAACACAGGAGUGUCUUUUUGCAUUGAAUAAUCAUUGCUUAUUGAUAGCUUGAUACAAUGGUAUUAUAGUUUUUUAAAAUGGGCAAUUUAAAGAAAUAGGCAUUUUUAGCCCAGAUUAAAUAUAAACGAAACUGGAUAUAUACUUGAGGGGUUCACAAGGUCAAACAACAAAAGUUAAACAAAUAAAAGAAGUUAAUAGCCAAAAUGGUCACUGAGGUGUAACCAGCCUUCUAAGCUCCUCUUCCAAUGGAAUACGGAAAUUUCGCUUCAUAACCCAUUGACC